CCUACGGGGGGCAGCAGUGGGGAAUAUUGCACAAUGGGGGAAACCCUGAUGCAGCGACGCCGCGUGAAGGAAGAAGUAUUUCGGUAUGUAAACUUCUAUCAGCAGGGAAGAAAAUGACGGUACCUGACUAAGAAGCCCCGGCUAACUACGUGCCAGCAGCCGCGGUAAUACGGAGGGGGCAAGCGUUAUCCGGAUUUACUGGGUGUAAAGGGAGCGUAGGCGGUGCAGCAAGUCAGACGGGAAAGCCCGGGGCUCAACUCCGGGACUGCCUUUGAAACUGUAUAACUAGAUUGCAGGAGAGGUAAGUGGAAUACCUAGUGUAGCGGUGAAAUGCGUAGAUAUUAGGAGGAACACCGGUGGCGAAGGCAGCUUACCGGACUGUAAAUGACGCUGAUGCUCGAAAGCGUGGGGAGCGAACAGGAUUAGAUACCCGAGUAGUC
RNAcentral lists this ribosomal RNA (440 nucleotides) under uncultured bacterium. RNAcentral describes it as "partial 16S ribosomal RNA". It matches the Rfam family "Bacterial small subunit ribosomal RNA", at positions 338 to 795 of the family's 1533-position model. The record is from RNAcentral.